This is a long non-coding RNA of Ailuropoda melanoleuca (giant panda), 1283 nucleotides long. RefSeq lists it as uncharacterized. The transcript has 4 exons. Lineage: Eukaryota; Metazoa; Chordata; Mammalia; Carnivora; Ursidae. The record is from RefSeq and is a predicted model, not a curated record.
UGCACCGUGAUGUGGCGCUCGGUUGUGCGGGGUCGCACCCCCACGGAGUCGGUCCACGGGUCCGAGAGCCCCCUGCCGCCGGCCCGGAGCGCGGCGUCGUUCUCCCCCAUGGUGGCCGCGAAGGCGGUAGCGUUCAGUCCUCUGGGUGGGAUGUGCUCGAGGCGGCGGCGGCAGCAGCAGAGGAGGCGCCCGAGCCAUGCACUCCGCAGCCGGGGGCGAGAGGAUGGCCGGGGAAGAAGAGAGCGGGGUGAACCAGGCGGGCGAAGUCCCAGGGCCGCAGAGCUGCGCCGGGAAUCUGCCCUGAAGAAGCCGUCUCCUCCAGCCUGGACACUUUAAGCAGCGGUGGCGGCAAACGCCGUGAGGUUGCAGACCGGACAGCGAGCUUCCCUCGUUCCGACGUUGCUCUGACCUCCGGAGAUGACAAGUGAGCAAGAAGUGUCCGGUUGGGCCAUCCCCUUCAGUACAAUCCCAAAAUAGAUUAUGAGUGUCUACAAAGAGAAGAACACCAUGCUAUGUUCUAUAGCAGUGAUCUUGAACUCUGGCUGCAUGUUAAAAUAACCUAGGGAGUAUUGAUAAAAUACCAAUGGCCAGGCCUACCCGAUUGAAUUGAAUCAAGAUCUCUGGGGCUGAGACUCAAGUACCCCACAGCCUGGUUUCAAGGUAGGCCAAAAACCAGAUGUACACAUUCGUGUGGAUAGAUCUCAAGAGGAAGCCCUCUAGUCCAAUCUCAAGGAGCACAGAAGUCUACUGGCAGCAACUAUCAUUUCAGCAGAAGCCCACAAGCACCUAAAACUCCAAGGAAGAGAAACUUUCCUCUCUGACCAAAGGAGCUGUGGUCCCAAGAAUGUGGCAAGAACUUCUGUUGUUUUCUGUUGUUUUUUCUCUCUGUGUACUGAUGACAAUAGAUGACUACAAACUCUCUAAAGAGUUGGUGCAAGUUUUGGUUUGGUCCUGAAGUUGGGUGCAGGUGCAAGAGCUGUAUGACAGAGCAGAGUGAAUAAAACCUCAGCUUUCCAGACAGAGGACCAUAAAAGGGAGCCACAGGAACCGUAAACUAUAGAGGAGCUAAUGGAGAGGAAAGAGCUCAAGAAAGCAACAUUAUAGGGUUAUUUAUGAAUUCCUGGGCUCAUCCUGGAGCUGCACAUACAUGGAUCUAAUCCUAAAUGGUAUAUUAAAUACUUUGAUAACUGAAAUGAGAGACAAAACCCUCCCAGGUCCCAAACUGGCCACUGGAUGUGGGACAAAUCCACAUAGUUCAGCAAAGGUUUUGAAAUAAAACUGAA